This 232-nucleotide ribosomal RNA is filed under the name uncultured bacterium. Its description in RNAcentral is "partial 16S ribosomal RNA". It matches the Rfam family "Bacterial small subunit ribosomal RNA", at positions 104 to 334 of the family's 1533-position model. The record is from RNAcentral.
CGGGGUGAGUAACGCGUGGGUAACCUGCCUCAUACAGGGGGAUAACAGUUAGAAAUGACUGCUAAUACCGCAUAAGCGCACGGUGCUGCAUGGCACAGUGUGAAAAACUCCGGUGGUAUGAGAUGGACCCGCGUCUGAUUAGCUAGUUGGUGGGGUAACGGCCUACCAAGGCGACGAUCAGUAGCCGGCCUGAGAGGGUGAACGGCCACAUUGGGACUGAGACACGGCCCAA